This is a long non-coding RNA of Haliotis rubra (blacklip abalone), 752 nucleotides long. RefSeq lists it as uncharacterized. Lineage: Eukaryota; Metazoa; Mollusca; Gastropoda; Lepetellida; Haliotidae. The record is from RefSeq and is a predicted model, not a curated record. The transcript has 2 exons.
AUAACCAAAUCAUUGAGUCUGACCACCCGGUUCAUUAAGUCACCUCUAAUAACCAAGUCAUUGAACCUGACCACCCGGUUCAUUCAGUCACCUCUAACAACCAAAUCCUUGAGUCUGACCUCCCGGUUCAUUAAGCCACCUCUAACAACCAAAUCAUUGAGUCUAACCACCCGGUUCAUUAAGUCACCUCUAAUAACCAAAUCAUCGAAUUUGACCACGUGGUUCAUGAAGUCACCUCUAACAACCAAAUCAUUUAGUUUGACCUACCGGUUCAUUAAGUCACCUCCAACAACCAAAUCAUUGAGUCGGACCUCCCGGUUCAUUAAGUCACCUCUAACAACCAAAUCAUCGAGUCUGACCGCGUGGUUCAUUAAGUCACCUCUAAUAACCAAAUCAUUGAGUCUGACCACCCGGUUCAUUAAGUCACCUCUAAUAACCAAGUCAUCGAGUCUGACCACGUGGUUCAUGAAGUCACCUCAAAGAACCAAAUCAUUUAGUUUGACCUACCGGUUCAUUAAGCCUCCUCUAACAACCAAAUCUUGAGUCUGACCACCCAGAUCAUUAAGUCACCUCUAACAACUAUGUGUCUAGAUUGCAUAUGUGACACUAGAUUGCAUUUCUGACAUAAGACAGCAUACGUAACGGUAAACUGCAUAUGUGUCGGGGAAGGGGGCCGGGGGAGGAAUGAGACCGACAUAAGGACCAGCAGGGAGAUUAUUUUGGAAACUUAAAAUUAAUUCUACGAUAAAUUA